RNAcentral lists this ribosomal RNA (554 nucleotides) under uncultured bacterium. Its description in RNAcentral is "bacterial SSU rRNA". It matches the Rfam family "Bacterial small subunit ribosomal RNA", at positions 912 to 1464 of the family's 1533-position model. The record is from RNAcentral.
GACGGGGGCCCGCACAAGCGGAGGAACAUGUGGUUUAAUUCGAUGAUACGCGAGGAACCUUACCCGGGCUCGAACGGCUGGUGAAGAGAUCCAGAGAUGGUGACGUCCUUCGGGACACCAGUCGAGGUGCUGCAUGGUUGUCGUCAGCUCGUGCCGUGAGGUGUCGGCUUAAGUGCCAUAACGAGCGCAACCCUUGCCAUUAGUUACCAGCAUGUAGUGAUGGGGACUCUAGUGGGACUGCCACCGCAAGGUGAGAGGAAGGGGGGGAUGACGUCAAAUCAGCACGGCCCUUACGUCCGGGGCGACACACGUGUUACAAUGGGAGUUACAGAGGGGCACUACCUGGUGACAGGAUGGGAAUCUCGAAAAGCUCUCUCAGUCCGGAUCGGAGUCUGCAACCCGACUCCGUGAAGCUGGAUUCGCUAGUAAUCGCGCAUCAGCCAUGGCGCGGUGAAUACGUUCCCGGGCCUUGUACACACCGCCCGUCAAGCCAUGAAAGUCUGGGGCGCCUGAAGUUCGUGGGCGGAAGGAGCGACCUAGUUUGAAACAGGGAG